Molecule: ribosomal RNA, 253 nt
Filed under: uncultured bacterium
Lineage: Bacteria
Description: partial 16S ribosomal RNA
Rfam family: Bacterial small subunit ribosomal RNA
Source: RNAcentral
UACGUAGGCAGCGAGCGUUGUUCGGAAUUACUGGGCGUAAAGAGUGUGUAGGCGGUGCUCUAAGUUCGGUGUGAAAUCUUCCGGCUUAACUGGGAGGGUGCGCCGGAAACUGGAGUGCUCGAGCGUGGGAGAGGAAAGCGGAAUUCCUGGUGUAGCGGUGAAAUGCGUAGAUAUCAGGAGGAACACCUGCGGUGUAGACGGCUUUCUGGACCAUUGUUGACGCUGAGACACGAAAGCGUGGGUAGCAAACAGG